This 111-nucleotide microRNA precursor is filed under the name Gorilla gorilla (western gorilla). RNAcentral's name for it is "microRNA ggo-mir-590 precursor". Its record names the gene ggo-mir-590. The stretch from base 7 to 92 matches the Rfam family "mir-590 microRNA precursor family". Lineage: Eukaryota; Metazoa; Chordata; Mammalia; Primates; Hominidae. The record is from miRBase by way of RNAcentral. RNAcentral also lists the same sequence under 1 other name.
UCCUGUAGCCAGUCAGAAAUGAGCUUAUUCAUAAAAGUGCAGUAUGGUGAAGUCAAUCUGUAAUUUUAUGUAUAAGCUAGUCUCUGAUUGAAAUGUGCAGCAGCUGUCUUC